RNAcentral lists this ribosomal RNA (456 nucleotides) under uncultured bacterium. RNAcentral's name for it is "bacterial SSU rRNA". It matches the Rfam family "Bacterial small subunit ribosomal RNA", at positions 29 to 464 of the family's 1533-position model. The record is from RNAcentral.
AACUAACGCUGGCGGCGCGUCUUAAACAUGCAAGUCGAACGGUAGUCCUUGAGCUUGCUUAGGGAUGAGAGUGGCGAACGGGUGAGUAACACGUGGAUAAUCUGCCUCCGGGUUGGGGAUAACUGUCCGAAGGAUAGCUAAUACCGAAUGAGAUGGCGGUUACAUAAGUAGCAGCCAUUAAAAGGUGGGGACCGCAAGGCCUACUGCCUGGAGAUGAGUCCGCGGCUGAUUAGCUAGUUGGUGGGGUAACGGCCUACCAAGGCGACGAUCAGUAGCCGGCCUGAGAGGGUGAACGGCCACAUUGGGACUGAGAUACGGCCCAGACUCCUACGGGAGGCAGCAGUUAAGAAUCUUGCACAAUGGGCGCAAGCCUGAUGCAGCGACGCCGCGUGAAUGAUGAAGGCCCUUCGGGUUGUAAAGGUUUCAGUAAGCAGGGAAGAAGUAAGCAAGGGGUAA